AUUCGCAUCUUAAAAAAAAUAAGGCGAAUGCGAAGAAGGGACAGAAGAAACAAAAGAGGAAGCAGAAUGCACCACAUGCAGGGAAACAACACAAACCAAGGCAAGUGAAACAAUGAGCAAACUUAAUGCAACAAAAACAACAACAGCGCAGAAGAAUCGUUUUUACCCUUUUCCCAUUCUCUCUCUCUCUGUCUUCUCCUACCCGCUGCUUUUCUUCUGUUCCCCUUUUUAUUCCAUUCCAUUCCGUUCCGCCCGGCUGUUAAGCGCAAAUCAAUGACCUACGACAUCAACAAGAGCGCGUCAAACACACACGCAAAGCCAUAAGUGGAAGCAAGAGAGCGGAGAGAUAGUUCUGGAAGAGAGAAGCGCGCGGGACAGGGACAGCACGUGGCAGGUGGGCCCAGCAGGGGGAGAGAGAUAACUAGAGGGAAGGAUGCAAGGAGUUUGGCGAAAUAUUGCCGAUGCCUGCGUUUCUUUACCCCCCACAAACUGGCGUAGUAGUAGCAGCUCGAAAAACAAGGGUAAGAUAAAGGACAUCAACAACGGAACAGAAACCCCAAGAACAACAACAACAAGUUUGCGAAAACUCUCUUUUGCACAACUUUACUUUACCUCCAGCCAGGAGGUCUUUAUUUUGUUACUAUUAUUCCGACUGGUCCUCGCAUAAAUGUAAUAAAUAUCUUUCUCCUCUUCUUCUGCUGGUUCUACGCUCAGAGAGAGAGAGAGAGAGAGAGAGAGAGAGAUUUCAAAGUUGAUGCAAAGUAAACCGAAAAAAGGGUGACACAAGAAACAAAAAG
Non-coding RNA from Drosophila melanogaster (fruit fly), 797 nucleotides. Lineage: Eukaryota; Metazoa; Arthropoda; Insecta; Diptera; Drosophilidae. The record is from Ensembl.